This 2105-nucleotide small RNA is filed under the name Rattus norvegicus (Norway rat). RNAcentral describes it as "uncharacterized LOC102547003". Lineage: Eukaryota; Metazoa; Chordata; Mammalia; Rodentia; Muridae. The record is from RNAcentral.
GAAACUGGUCCCCCAUUGACAGCACUCUGACUUCUCCGUCAGGCUCUAUCAACAUGUCUACGGUGAGGUUGGUGAUGCUGUCUGCAGGCACCUUGUGAUGGUCACCGGGAACCCACGCUUCAGACCUACCACAGCCUGACCUGCAGUGUCCUCUGCACUCUGUGAACUUCAGUCUUUCUUUGAUGCUGCCAUCUCUUUCGUCCGUGCCCACUGUGCUGACAGACAGCUGACUCCAACAGCUUUGACAAGAAAGCCCAAACUCUCGACUGAAACUGUAAAGGUGGGAUUUGAAGUGGCGGGACAAGUUCUAGAGUCAGCCUUGUGCAACCUGAAAUGCUGCAAACCACAGUGUCUCAUGGAGGCUUAGAUUUUUCAAAGACCCACUUUAAUAAGGUUCUUAAAUGCUUCAACCUCCCUGAUAGCUCAGGGAUCAAAGGUAGAGGAGGAAGAUGGCUAAUAGGAAAAGAGGGACGUGGAUCUCUUUAGAAGUAGUUCUUUGAGGUGAUUCCAAUCUUCAUUGUCAGAAGUCCAGUCCAUUUGAAUCAGUAGCAGCAGCCUGAUCCAGAGGAAACUGAGAGGCUUUGCCGGUCAGCAUGGAUUCCUUGGUGCAUUUCUCUCCACUAAGUUAUGACAAGUGAAUAUCAAGGAAGGAAGCAAGGUGAACCAAUGAAUAAUGUUAUCAGGGAAGACCAGAGUCAGUGAAGGCCAAUGAAGACCACAAGUUAUUGUGAAAAACUGGCAGUUAAAUUCAAUUGAUUCAAAUUUUUCUGGAUCCAUAUGGCCGCCAACCCUGGAGCUGAAGCGGCGGCGGCGCCUCUCCGCUGUUUUCAAGCAUUUGCCUCUCCUCCAGUCCCCAGAUGGUGGGAGUAACAUUUAAACCUCCUUUUCUCUGCCUUGUACAAUAGACCUUGGCACCAUUUCAACUGUUUACUCCGGUAAUUAACAGCUCUGAUACCACAACAAUUACAACUCCUCCACUCUCCACAAUAAUGCUAUGAAUUAGUGAGAGCUAAUGGCUGGAAGGUAGAGUGUUUCCAGACUGUGAGAUCUGUGCAUUUUUAGAAUAAAAUAAAAGGUACAAACAGCACGCUUGCAGUAGACAAUGAUUACCUAGUAAUUAGUUUACACAAAGCUUCCUAUUUAAUGGCAAAACGCUGUAAUUAACGUGUGACAGAAAAUCAAAGGGUACUUUGUAAGCAUAUGAAAAAUUAACACUGCAGGCCCAUAGCUUUAUGUACUGAUUAGAAGCAUAUUAAAUCAAUAGGACACACAAGCCAACAGCUUGUAUAGCUGAUUAUUAUAGGUCCUCGGAAGGGGUGCCCAGGCUUUCAUUUAACUGGGGAGGCAAUUUUCCUUCUCCUGUCAUCAUCCUCAGGCACAGAGAAGCACCUCAAACUCAACCCUGGCAGCACCAUGAAAAUAACCACUGAACUGGAAGAAAACAUUCUAAGUCAUUCUCAGAGCUAAGAAAAAUUAUGUACAUGAUUAAGACUUUCCAGUGAUCUUGGUGACAUGCUGCUAUACUAAUUAGAAAAUAUGUCAACUGGAACCAGAAGCAUCCAGACUCAAUGUUUUGGUCAGAAUAAUCUCUACUUUAUCAAGCCUUUUUAUUCAACAUGGAGAAAGCUCUAAUAAACACAUUGUUUUCUAUUCUCAAAUGGUCUUAAUUGCAACCAGCCAAAGCUCAGUCAAAAAUUAGAAGAGGAGGAAGGAGGGGUGAUCUUUGUGUUCCAAGUCUGAGCCUACCUCUAAGACUAGUGUCUGCAUAAGACUCCACAGUGGCGCCCGCCCCAUACACAGCCCUGCUUUCAUCUGUUGUCUACGGUGCACCAAUAAGAGAAUUCACAGCAUCCUGUCACAAACUGCUAUGCAAAUGAUGCCAUUUGUAACGUUAUCAUUGCUGCGAUGAAGCACCAUCACCAAAACAACUCGGGGAAGAAAGGGUCUAUUCAGUUUCCACUUCCGCCUCACUGUCCAGCACGAAGAAGCCAGGACAGGAACCCAGCCAGAGGCAGGAGAUGAUGUAGAGGCCAUAGGAGAGGUGCUGCUUACUGGUUUGCUUCUGUUGGCUUGCUCAGCCAGCCUUCUUAUAGAACCCAGGACCA